CUAGGAUUAGAUACCCUAUUAUUUAAAAUCUAAAAACUAAAUUAUUAAUAGUUAUAGUCUUUAAAUUUAAAAAAUUUGGCGGUAUUUUAGUCUAUUCAGAGGAACCUGUUUUAUAAUCGAUAUUCCACGUUGGACCUUACUUUAACUUAUAAAUUAGUUUAUAUACCGUUGUUAUAAAAAAUUUUAUAAGAAUAAUAAUUUUUAAAAUUAUAUAUCAGAUCAAGGUGUAGCUUAUGUUAAAGUAAAUAAUGGGUUACAAUAAAAUUAUUUAUAUGGAAAUUAAUAUGAAAAAUUAAUAGAAGGAGGAUUUGAUAGUAAAAUUAUAUAGAUUAAUAAUUUGAUUUUAGCUCUAAAAUAUGUACAUAUCGCCCGUCACUCUUAUUAUUAAAAUAAGAUAAG
Molecule: ribosomal RNA, 399 nt
Filed under: Melaloncha triangularis
Lineage: Eukaryota; Metazoa; Arthropoda; Insecta; Diptera; Phoridae
Description: partial 12S ribosomal RNA
Source: RNAcentral